UCCGUCGAGGACAGUGCUUCGGCAUUGGCCAACGAUAAAGUUGAUACGCUUCUAAUUAGCGCAGACUUCGAGUGCUGGCAAUUUUGACAACUUGGCCUCAAAUCAGGUAGGACUACCCACUGAACUUAAGCAUAUCAAUAAGUGGAGGAAAAGAAACUAACAAGGAUUCCCCUAGUAACGGCGAGUGAAGCGGGAAGAGCUCAAAUUUAAAAUCUGGCAGUCUACGAUUGUCCGAAUUGUAAUCUCGAGAAGUGUUUUCCGCGUUGGCCUGUGCACAAGUCCCUUGGAACAGGGCGUCAUAGAGGGUGAGAAUCCCGUCCUUGGCACAGAUACCCAAUGCUUUGUGAUACACUCUCAAUGAGUCGAGUUGUUUGGGAAUGCAGCUCAAAAUGGGAGGUAAAUUCCUUCUAAAGCUAAAUACUGGCGAGAGACCGAUAGCGAACAAGUACCGUGAGGGAAAGAUGAAAAGCACUUUGGAAAGAGAGUCAAACAGUACGUGAAAUUGUUGAAAGGGAAACGAUUGAAGUCAGUCGUGCCUGCCUAGAUUCAGCCUUCUGGUGUAUUUCUAGGUCGGCAGGUCAGCAUCAGUUUGGGAGGGUUAACAAGGGGAUUAGGAAUGUGGCAACCUCGGUUGUGUUAUAGCCUAGUUUCGUAUUGAUCUUGCUGGACUGAGGAACGCAGUGCGCCCGCAAGGGUAGGUCUUCGGACACUUCGCACU
RNAcentral lists this ribosomal RNA (718 nucleotides) under Cystofilobasidium capitatum. RNAcentral's name for it is "eukaryotic LSU rRNA". The stretch from base 93 to 718 matches the Rfam family "Eukaryotic large subunit ribosomal RNA", at positions 1 to 617 of the family's 3401-position model. The record is from RNAcentral. Lineage: Eukaryota; Fungi; Basidiomycota; Tremellomycetes; Cystofilobasidiales; Cystofilobasidiaceae.